UACGUAGGGCGCAAGCGUUGUCCGGAAUUAUUGGGCGUAAAGAGCUCGUAGGCGGCUUGUCACGUCGAUUGUGAAAGCCCGAGGCUUAACCUCGGGUCUGCAGUCGAUACGGGCUAGCUAGAGUGUGGUAGGGGAGAUCGGAAUUCCUGGUGUAGCGGUGAAAUGCGUAGAUAUCGAGAGGAACACCUGCGGCGAAGGCGGGUUGCUGGGCUGAUACUGACGCUGAGGCGCGAAAGCCAGGGGAGCGAACGGG
This 253-nucleotide ribosomal RNA is filed under the name uncultured bacterium. RNAcentral's name for it is "partial 16S ribosomal RNA". It matches the Rfam family "Bacterial small subunit ribosomal RNA", at positions 524 to 776 of the family's 1533-position model. The record is from RNAcentral.